This 29-nucleotide non-coding RNA is filed under the name Rattus norvegicus (Norway rat). Lineage: Eukaryota; Metazoa; Chordata; Mammalia; Rodentia; Muridae. The record is from RNAcentral.
UAAAUGUGUUACUUGCAUGCUUUGAUAUC